CACGUAGUUGGCCGGUGCUUCUUCUGCCACUACCGUCACUUGCGCUUCGUCAUGGCUGAAAGAGGUUUACAACCCGAAGGCCGUCAUCCCUCACGCGGCGUCGCUGCGUCAGGCUUCCGCCCAUUGCGCAAUAUUCCCCA
RNAcentral lists this ribosomal RNA (140 nucleotides) under uncultured bacterium. RNAcentral's name for it is "partial 16S ribosomal RNA". The record is from RNAcentral.